This is a non-coding RNA of Caenorhabditis tropicalis, 45 nucleotides long. The record is from Rfam. NCBI's taxonomy places the organism in Eukaryota, Metazoa, Nematoda, Chromadorea, Rhabditida, Rhabditidae.
CCAACGGCCCUCUUUAGGGCCACAAAUAUUCCAAAAUGAUCCAGA